RNAcentral lists this small RNA (111 nucleotides) under Arabidopsis thaliana (thale cress). Its description in RNAcentral is "ATSL127730". Lineage: Eukaryota; Viridiplantae; Streptophyta; Magnoliopsida; Brassicales; Brassicaceae. The record is from RNAcentral.
GUAAGGGUUGGUGGUGGUGGAGGAGGAGGAGAACAUACGAAGGGUACUGUGGCGGCAUCUCUGGGGAAGAGUAAGAAGUAGACACAUAAGAAGGAGAAAAACGAAAGAGGU